GACGAACGCUGGCGGCGUGCUUAACACAUGCAAGUCGAGCGAUGAAGCUUCUUCGGAAGUGGAUUAGCGGCGGACGGGUGAGUAACACGUGGGUAACCUGCCUCAUAGAGGGGAAUAGCCUUCCGAAAGGAAGAUUAAUACCGCAUAAGAUUGUAAUAUCGCAUGAUAUAGCAAUUAAAGGAGUAAUCCGCUAUGAGAUGGACCCGCGUCGCAUUAGCUAGUUGGUGAGGUAACGGCCCACCAAGGCGAAGAUGCGUAGCCGACCUGAGAGGGUGAUCGGCCACAUUGGGACUGAGACACGGCCCAGACUCCUACGGGAGGCAGCAGUGGGGAAUAUUGCACAAUGGGGGAAACCCUGAUGCAGCAACGCCGCGUGAGUGAUGACGGUCUUCGGAUUGUAGAGCUCUGUCUUCAGGGACGAUAAUGACGGUACCUGAGGAGGAAGCCACGGCUAACUACGUGCCAGCAGCCGCAGUAA
RNAcentral lists this ribosomal RNA (478 nucleotides) under uncultured bacterium. Its description in RNAcentral is "partial 16S ribosomal RNA". It matches the Rfam family "Bacterial small subunit ribosomal RNA", at positions 28 to 523 of the family's 1533-position model. The record is from RNAcentral.